Non-coding RNA from Cinara cedri, 560 nucleotides. NCBI's taxonomy places the organism in Eukaryota, Metazoa, Arthropoda, Insecta, Hemiptera, Aphididae. The record is from the annotation of a GenBank genome assembly.
CGGGUAAAAUAUUUGAAAUUUUGAAUGCAGAAUUCGGGAAAUCUGUAUAGUAUUUAUUAUUAUGAUCAAAAUCUAAAUAUUACGGGUUAUUGCGUUUCGUUCUACCCCGUCGAUAUACCGUGUACAUCGUGGAGAGGGGAGGGGGGUAGUAACAUAAAAACGCAUUAUGGCAAGAGACCCAGGGACCUGAUAUCUCUUUAGACCAAAGGAGAUACCACAUUUUACAGCACUGUAUACUACAUUCUGAUAUCUGUGUAAGUAGCGAUACACUAUCGUGAUGUAUCCUUACGCUGUCAUUUGUUAUUUAUUUUAGAUUCUGAGCGGAGCGAGGAAUGUAUUGGUUUCACAAUAAUGUGUUUUUUUUUUUCUUUUUUUUUAUCAUAUGAACACUUUUUCUACAAGAAAAGAUUACUCCGACUAUCAAUUAUAGCACCUUUUCCAAAAGGGGCAAUGUUCUCUGGGUAGUACUACAUUGAACAGGUUAUUUUUUGAAAUUAUUAUUAAUAUUAGAUGUAAUGAGGAAAACCAGGUUAAAAAAGACUAAAAGAUUAAAGAUUGCU